UAGACUAUUAGACGUACCGGGUAGUCCGAGGGUAGUAAACGCUGCAGACUUGGUGUUGGAAGUCCUUUGGGGGCAUUCAGUGCCGGAGAGAAGUUGUUAAGUCUGCUACUUGGGAGUACGUCCGCAAGGAUGAAACUUAAAGGAAUUGGCGGGGGAGCACCGCAACGGGAGGAGCGUGCGGUUUAAUUGGAUUCAACACCGUAAACUCACCAGGGAAGACUGUUACAUGAAAGCCGAGAUGAAGACUCUGCUAGAUUUUCAG
This 262-nucleotide ribosomal RNA is filed under the name uncultured archaeon. Its description in RNAcentral is "partial 16S ribosomal RNA". It matches the Rfam family "Archaeal small subunit ribosomal RNA", at positions 730 to 982 of the family's 1478-position model. The record is from RNAcentral.